Molecule: ribosomal RNA, 216 nt
Filed under: Glomeromycotina sp.
Lineage: Eukaryota; Fungi; Glomeromycota
Description: partial small subunit ribosomal RNA
Rfam family: Eukaryotic small subunit ribosomal RNA (bases 44-216)
Source: RNAcentral
GGGUCAGUAGGUUGGUCGUGCCACCGGUACGUACUGGUCUCACUGAUUCCUCCUUCCUGAAGAACCGUAAUGCCAUUAAUUUGGUGUUGCGGGGAAACAGGACUGUUACUUUGAAAAAAUUAGAGCGUUUAAAGCAAGCUAACGCUUGAAUACCUUAGCAUGGAAUAAUGAAAUAGGACGAUCGAUCCUAUUUUGUUGGUUUCUAGGAUUGACGUA